Molecule: ribosomal RNA, 639 nt
Filed under: uncultured bacterium
Lineage: Bacteria
Description: bacterial SSU rRNA
Rfam family: Bacterial small subunit ribosomal RNA (bases 1-542)
Source: RNAcentral
CCUACGGGAGGCAGCAGUAAGGAAUAUUGGUCAAUGGAGGCAACUCUGAACCAGCCAUGCCGCGUGCAGGAAGACUGCCCUAUGGGUUGUAAACUGCUUUUAUCCGGGAAUAAACCUGCUUACGUGUAAGUAGCUGAAUGUACCGGAAGAAUAAGGAUCGGCUAACUCCGUGCCAGCAGCCGCGGUAAUACGGAGGAUCCAAGCGUUAUCCGGAUUUAUUGGGUUUAAAGGGUGCGUAGGCGGCCUGUUAAGUCAGGGGUGAAAGACGGUAGCUCAACUAUCGCAGUGCCCUUGAUACUGAUGGGCUUGAAUGGACUAGAGGUAGGCGGAAUGAGACAAGUAGCGGUGAAAUGCAUAGAUAUGUCUCAGAACACCGAUUGCGAAGGCAGCUUACUAUGGUCUUAUUGACGCUGAGGCACGAAAGCGUGGGGAUCAAACAGGAUUAGAUACCCUGGUAGUCCACGCCCUAAACGAUGAACACUCGCUGUUGGCGAUACACAGUCAGCGGCGUAGACGAAAGACGUUAAGUUAGUUCCGUAACCGUCGGGGUAGGUUACGGCCGCCGAACGGGUUAGGAACGUUACGAAAGGAAGUUAGACGGCGUUGAGACGNGCCGACGGACGACGACGAGGGAGGAGG